GUGGGGAAUUUUGGACAAUGGGGGCAACCCUGAUCCAGCCAUCCCGCGUGUGCGAUGAAGGCCUUCGGGUUGUAAAGCACUUUUGGCAGGGAAGAAAAGUUUCGGGCUAAUACCCUGGAGCGAUGACGGUACCUGCAGAAUAAGCACCGGCUAACUACGUGCCAGCAGCCGCGGUAAUACGUAGGGUGCAAGCGUUAAUCGGAAUUACUGGGCGUAAAGCGUGCGCAGGCGGUUCGGAAAGAAAGAUGUGAAAUCCCAGGGCUUAACCUUGGAACUGCAUUUUUAACUGUCGAACUCGAGUAUGUCAGAGGGGGGUAGAAUUCCACGUGUAGCAGUGAAAUGCGUAGAGAUGUGGAGGAAUACCGAUGGCGAAGGCAGCCCCCUGGGAUAAUACUGACGCUCAUGCACGAAAGCAUGGGGAGCAAACAGGAUUAGAAACCCUGGUAGUCC
RNAcentral lists this ribosomal RNA (450 nucleotides) under uncultured bacterium. RNAcentral describes it as "partial 16S ribosomal RNA". It matches the Rfam family "Bacterial small subunit ribosomal RNA", at positions 354 to 796 of the family's 1533-position model. The record is from RNAcentral.